AGGAGGAGGGAGGUGAGAUUAACAGCAAGAAGAGAAAAAACAAGUGAGAGGCAGGUUGUGAGAAAAAUAGGAGGAAAACGAACAUGCCAACAUUCUUGUCUUGAUAACCACCUCCAUGAUAAUUAACCUAGAUGUCAAUGAUUGAUUUCUCCUCUUGCACAGCACUGGAUCCCUCUGCUCCACUGACCUACUUUAAGGUAAUAAAAGCUUUCAAACAAAGUGGUGAUAGCUUCUUAUUUCUGUGUCUGCCACUCACCGCACUCCAGCGAGAUCUGUAUCCAGGUAACUGGCCUGCAGGAAAUCAGCCACAGUCAAGCAACUGCUCGGUGAGCAUGGAAAAUGGGAAUGAUGGAAGGUGAAAGUAGAAGGAGAGUGGAUGGAAGAAGAGUUGAGGAGUUCACUCUCCUUGGACAGCACUGGCUCCAAGUUUCCAGCACAAUGCUGAGACCUCUUCUCUGCUCGCUAAGAAUGCCGUUCAGCAGGAUAAGAUAAUCCUGCUCUCACCGUCUCCACUGUGGCUCCCCAGGACAUUCCAGCGUCGCGGGAUAUCCAGGUUGGCCAUGGCCAGGGCCACGCGACGAUCCAUAGCCCAGCGAGAACUCUCC
This is a long non-coding RNA of Seriola aureovittata, 605 nucleotides long. RefSeq lists it as uncharacterized. The record is from RefSeq and is a predicted model, not a curated record. Lineage: Eukaryota; Metazoa; Chordata; Actinopteri; Carangiformes; Carangidae. The transcript has 3 exons.